This 334-nucleotide unclassified non-coding RNA is filed under the name soil metagenome. RNAcentral's name for it is "partial contains 5.8S ribosomal RNA, internal transcribed spacer 2, and large subunit ribosomal RNA". The stretch from base 1 to 120 matches the Rfam family "5.8S ribosomal RNA", at positions 35 to 154 of the family's 154-position model. The record is from RNAcentral.
GAUGAAGAACGUAGCGAAAUGCGAUAAGUAAUGUGAAUUGCAGAAUUCAGUGAAUCAUCGAAUGUUUGAACGCGCAUUGCGUCCCCCAGUAUUCUGGCGGGCAUGCCUGUUCGAGCGUCAUUUCAACCAUCAAGCCCUGCUUGUGUUGGGGUCCUGCGGCUGCCCGCAGGCCCUGAAAACCAGUGGCGGGCUCGCUAGUCACACCGAGCGCAGUAGCACAUCUCGCUCAGGGCGUGCGGCGGGCUCCAGCCGUUAAAGCACCCACCUUUCGCAAGGUUGACCUCGGAUCAGGUAGGAAUACCCGCUGAACUUAAGCAUAUCAAUAAGCGGAGGA